GCGGAUGUGACUUAAAGGUAAAGUGUCAGGUUGAAGCCCUGAAGAUGAAGGUUCGAGUCCUUCCAUUCGCA
Microscilla marina ATCC 23134 is the source of this 71-nucleotide transfer RNA. It matches the Rfam family "tRNA". From Rfam's summary of the family: Transfer RNA (tRNA) molecules are approximately 80 nucleotides in length. Their secondary structure includes four short double-helical elements and three loops (D, anti-codon, and T loops). NCBI's taxonomy places the organism in Bacteria, Pseudomonadati, Bacteroidota, Cytophagia, Cytophagales, Microscillaceae. The record is from Rfam.